GGGUCGUUAGCUCAGUAGGUAGAGCAGUUGGCUUUUAACCAAUUGGUCGAAGGUUCGAAUCCUUCACGACCCACCA
This 76-nucleotide transfer RNA is filed under the name Shewanella carassii. RNAcentral's name for it is "tRNA-Lys". It matches the Rfam family "tRNA". Rfam says of the family: Transfer RNA (tRNA) molecules are approximately 80 nucleotides in length. The record is from RNAcentral. Lineage: Bacteria; Pseudomonadati; Pseudomonadota; Gammaproteobacteria; Alteromonadales; Shewanellaceae. RNAcentral also lists the same sequence under 2 other names.